UACAGAGGGUGCAAGCGUUGCUCGGAAUCAUUGGGUUUAAAGGGUGCGUAGGCGGAACGAUAAGUCAGUGGUGAAAGCCCUCAGCUUAACUGAGGAACUGCCAUUGAUACUGUCGAUCUUGAGUACAUUUGAUGUGGGCGGAAUGUGUCAUGUAGCGGUGAAAUGCUUAGAUAUGACACAGAACACCGAUUGCGAAGGCAGCUCACAAAACUGUAACUGACGCUGAGGCACGAAAGCGUGGGUAUCAAACAGGAUUAGAUACCCUUGUAGU
Molecule: ribosomal RNA, 271 nt
Filed under: uncultured bacterium
Lineage: Bacteria
Description: partial 16S ribosomal RNA
Rfam family: Bacterial small subunit ribosomal RNA
Source: RNAcentral